AUGUAUUCUUCCUGUUAACAUGUUACUUCCGUAUGCAAAAUAUAAGAAUUUAUUAGACAUUUUGUCAGUUAAUUUAUGAAAUUUGUUGAAGAUAACUUAUUACUGGGAACAAAGAGAUGAAUAGGUUAAGGUUUUAUUUAAACAAAAGCAUGUUACAAUAAAUAAACUGCUAUCAGAAUACAACUUAAAAUUAGAAGAUACACAAAUUUAAUGCUUGAAGUAUAUGAGUAAAUUAGAGGUCUAAAUAAUAGAAGGUAUUGAUUGUAAAAAUGUUUAUAUUGAUUUAACUAUACAUGUUUAAGGUAUAAAGCAUUAAUUUAUAUAGCAUUAUUAUUCAAAUUUAUAAUUUGCAUAAACCUCGCGAAACAUAUCGCGACAAUUUAUUUUAACUUGAAGCUUGGCACACAAUAAGAAAACUCCUGAUAACUUUCUAUGUAGACUAUAUAUUUCUUCAGGUGGAGGGCAAAGCCUGUGAUCCAAUAUUGUUGGGACUAAUGAUUGAAUCCUGUAAUCAAUGUUAUAUAAUUUAUUAAUUUAUUAAUGAUUUAAUUUAAAUGAUAUCAUAUUGUUCUCACCGUUUAGUUACAUCUUGCCCACCAAAGUCAUAAUAUUUAGAAUUUUUAUCAAAUACUUGACCCAAGACCAUUACUGCAUCUACAUGAGCUUCUUCCAUAAGCUGAAAUUAAUACAAUGUAAUAAAUGUAUAAAUGUUAA
Long non-coding RNA from Bombus terrestris (buff-tailed bumblebee), 714 nucleotides. RefSeq lists it as uncharacterized. Lineage: Eukaryota; Metazoa; Arthropoda; Insecta; Hymenoptera; Apidae. The record is from RefSeq and is a predicted model, not a curated record. The transcript is spliced from 2 exons.